Molecule: ribosomal RNA, 468 nt
Filed under: uncultured bacterium
Lineage: Bacteria
Description: partial 16S ribosomal RNA
Rfam family: Bacterial small subunit ribosomal RNA
Source: RNAcentral
GACGAACGCUGGCGGCGUGCUUAACACAUGCAAGUCGAACGGAAAGGCCCUGCUUUUGUGGGGUGCUCGAGUGGCGAACGGGUGAGUAACACGUGAGUAACCUGCCCUUGACUUUGGGAUAACUUCAGGAAACUGGGGCUAAUACCGGAUAGGAGCUCCUGCUGCAUGGUGGGGGUUGGAAAGUUUCGGCGGUUGGGGAUGGACUCGCGGCUUAUCAGCUUGUUGGUGGGGUAGUGGCUUACCAAGGCUUUGACGGGUAGCCGGCCUGAGAGGGUGACCGGCCACAUUGGGACUGAGAUACGGCCCGGACUCCUACGGGAGGCAGCAGUGGGGAAUAUUGCACAAUGGGCGGAAGCCUGAUGCAGCAACGCCGCGUGCUGGAUGACGGCCUUCGGGUUGUAAACCGCUUUCGCCUGUGACGAAGCGUGAGUGACGGUAAUGGGUAAAGAAGCACCGGCUAACUACGUG